AUUGAACGCUGGCGGCAGGCCUAACACAUGCAAGUCGGGCGAGCGGCGGACGGGUGAGUAAUGGAUGGGGAUCUGCCUGAUGGAGGGGGAUAACUGCUGGAAACGGUCGCUAAUACCGCAUACCGUCAGAUGAACCCAUAUGGCAGUAGCUUGAAGGUGAGGUAACGGUGCACCUAGGCGACGCUCCCUAGCUGGACUGAGAGGAUGAACAGCAACACUGGUACUGAGAUGCGGCCCCAACUCCGACGGGAGGCAGCAGUGGGGAAUAUUGCAGAAUGGGCGCAAGGCUAAUGUAGCCAUGCCGCGUGUAUGAAGAAGGCCUUAGGGUUGUAAAGUACUUUCAGCGGGGAAGCGUUACCCGCAGAAGAAGCACCGGCUAACUCCGUGCCAGCAGCCGCGGUAAUAC
Molecule: ribosomal RNA, 406 nt
Filed under: uncultured bacterium
Lineage: Bacteria
Description: partial 16S ribosomal RNA
Rfam family: Bacterial small subunit ribosomal RNA
Source: RNAcentral